AUUCCGCAUGGAGAAGUCUGACGGAGCACGCCGCGUGAGUGAUGAAGGCUUUCGGGUCGUAAAACUCUGUUGUUAGGGAAGAACAAGUGCUAGUUGAAUAAGCUGGCACCUUGACGGUACCUAACCAGAAAGCCACGGCUAACUACGUGCCAGCAGCCGCGGUAAUACGUAGGUGGCAAGCGUUAUCCGGAAUUAUUGGGCGUAAAGCGCGCGCAGG
This 217-nucleotide ribosomal RNA is filed under the name Bacillus pseudomycoides. RNAcentral's name for it is "partial 16S ribosomal RNA". It matches the Rfam family "Bacterial small subunit ribosomal RNA", at positions 363 to 575 of the family's 1533-position model. Lineage: Bacteria; Bacillati; Bacillota; Bacilli; Caryophanales; Bacillaceae. The record is from RNAcentral.